This is a ribosomal RNA of Ochotona princeps (American pika), 120 nucleotides long. The record is from Ensembl. NCBI's taxonomy places the organism in Eukaryota, Metazoa, Chordata, Mammalia, Lagomorpha, Ochotonidae.
GUCUACGGCCAUACCACCCUGAACGCGCCCGAUCUCGUCUGAUCUCGGAAGCUAAGCAGGGUCGGGCCUGGUUAGUACUUGGAUGGGAGACAGAAUAUGAGGUCAGAUAAGCCUCACACA